Molecule: ribosomal RNA, 572 nt
Filed under: Blautia wexlerae
Lineage: Bacteria; Bacillati; Bacillota; Clostridia; Lachnospirales; Lachnospiraceae
Description: partial 23S ribosomal RNA
Rfam family: Bacterial large subunit ribosomal RNA
Source: RNAcentral
AGGUCAAGCAAUAAGGGCACAGGGCGGAUGCCUUGGCACUAAGAGCCGAUGAAAGACGUGAUAAGCUGCGAUAAGCUUCGGGGAGGAGCAAAUAUCCAUUGAUCCGGAGAUGUCUGAAUGGGGAAACCCACAUGAGCAAACCUCAUGUAUCCUACAGCCAAUACAUAACUGUAGGAAGGGAACCCGGGGAACUGAAACAUCUAAGUACCCGGAGGAAAAGAAAGAAAACUCGAUUCCGUAAGUAGCGGCGAGCGAACGCGGAGGAGCCUAAACCGGAAUGCGUGCAUUCCGGGGUUACGGACUGCAUUUAAGAUUCUUUGAAGCUAACAGAACGGUUUUGGGAAAGCCGGCCGGAGAGGGUGAAAGCCCCGUACGUGAAAGCUGAUGAGACUGAGCAGGAUCCAGAGUACCACGAGACACGUGGAACCUUGUGGGAAAUCAGGGGGACCACCCCCUAAGGCUAAAUACUACUUAGUGACCGAUAGCGCAUAGUACUGUGAAGGAAAGGUGAAAAGGACCCCGGGAGGGGAGUGAAAGAGAACCUGAAACCCUGUGUCUACAAGCUGUGGAAG